Rhincodon typus (whale shark) is the source of this 3980-nucleotide long non-coding RNA. RefSeq lists it as uncharacterized. The transcript is spliced from 2 exons. Lineage: Eukaryota; Metazoa; Chordata; Chondrichthyes; Orectolobiformes; Rhincodontidae. The record is from RefSeq and is a predicted model, not a curated record.
AUUUCAGAUUCUCCAGCAUCUGCAGUUCCUACUAUCUCUAUGCAUCCAGAAAGGUUGCUUUGUAUGGUGCAUCUAAAGAAAUUGUAUUGCCGGAAGUUUGGUGUACUCUUACAUUACGUUCACAGAGGAGCAGUCAGUCAAGACACCAGGAAAUGGCGGCAGUGUGGACAUCAAGGGAAAAGUAGCUGUAUGAACAGAAAAGAUUGCCGGAGAUAUUUAGUUUUUGUGUUCUAUUGAUUUGUCUUUUUAUAUUAAAAAAAAUGGUGUUAUAAAUCUGUGAUCGUCUAUCAAAGAAAUUGUACGUGAUCUUGCAGUUUUGGUACAUUGAUAUUCACAGGAUCAAAAAAAUUAUUAAAGCAUUAAAAGCCCCUCUUUUACUAAAGCAUUAGAGUAUUUGAAGGCAUUGCCACUAGUUGCUCUUCACCUCCAAUCUAAAACUUAAAAACAGUCCCAACUCACAAUUUAAAACAUUGAUUAAAAAAUUAUGUGGUGUGCCUCUAAAAAGUGUACCAUGUGCAAAUCCAAGACUUGGUUACUGUACUUUCUGGUAACCACCUUCAUGAGCUUCUCUGCUCACCAGUUCUUAGCAUCUUUUUGAUUCCUCCAGCCACAAACAUAAAUUGUAAACCAGGGAUUUCAUGUGGAGCAGUGAAUACUGAAUUUUAGUCUGCUUUUGGUCCUCUAGCGUUAGGUAAAUUACGUGUUAAUUAGUUUUUUUUACAGAAAACUACGCAAAGUGUGCUCCUUUGAAUAGGAACACAUUCAAUGGUUCUACAUUUUCCAGUUUCUCAUUGCAAAAAUGAGUCUAGGGAGUAAGAAUAUUGAAGCAAAUCUGCCAUUUCAGUAUAAUGUUUACAUGCAUGCAAAGGAAUACAUUAAAUGAUUUUUACUUUGUGAAGAAUUACCAGUACCAAUAUCCCAUUAAUCAUGAAGUUAUUGAUGUAUUUUUACGUGGGCUGUUAAAUGACAAUUCAUAAUUGAAAAUUAUACUGAACUGAGGGAAGUAGAUGCAAAACUUGAGAUUUUGUAAUUGAGUUGAAUGUUAAAAGCUUAUCAUUGUAUAAAUAUGAAUCAUUUCAAGUUUUCCAACUGUUAAUGGUUCAUGUGUUGUUGGUUCUGUGGAGCCAUUUAAAAUAGUUGUGUUAAACAGGUUUCAAGAAUUUGGUGACUUUUUUUAAAACUUGAAGAUUACAAACCUGGUUCAGAGUAAAAAUGAUAGGGCAGGUGAGAAUCAUUCAACAUCUAUCUAUCUUUCAGUUCUCUACUUUUGUAGAUCUAUUUAAUAUAUUAACUUAAUAAACACUUUGGUCUAAAUCCAGAUGUACCAGAAUGUAUGGUAGUUGUUCUGCCAUCCAGCAACUCGUCAGAUCUGUAUGUGUUGUGCUGGUGAUGAGCUAAUUUCUUUCUUUGUAUAUAGUGUAUGUGAAGUGUAAAAUUGAGGGCUGCAAUGAAUUAUAAUAUACUUAAGUGCACAUGUGCACUGCUUUAAUGAUUUUCCCAAAAUAUUAGUUUUCUGAAAUGUGUUCUGGCAGAAUAGGUCACCCCGUGAUAUUUGUUAAUUGUAAUUUUGUGAAUGCAGUUGUGAGUGAAAUUGAUGAACAUACAUAUUUACAGGUUAAGUAGGUCCUAUGGACUUAAGAAUCUGCACUGCCCAGACAUUAUGACGACUCCAGUGACAAUGUGGCAACAUUUGCUUUUGUGCAGCACUAAAUGUGCAUAUGAAUUAGUACAAGAAAACUCCUUGUAGAGCUUUCUUGGAGUCUGCCAAGAUGUUACUUAUUUAGUGGCUGGUUUCAGAAAUGCUGCUUUUAGUACUUAAAAUCAGAUGCUGGUCUUGGUGAUCUGUAAACAAGUUGCAUAGUUCAAUGUUGUAAACACUGAAGUGCCUAGAUAUUGGUUAGAGCUGACUUACGAACACUUUUAAUAUGUGCAUUUAACCCAUCCGAACUUAGAUGCAUUUUUAGUUCUGAUUUGUAAUUAUUUUAUAAUUUAGUAACAAAGUGGGUUAGAAAUAGGUUUGCUAUUGCGUGUUCUAAUGAUUCUACUUUUUUUGUCAUUUUAAAUUUGCUUGACAGGUAUAUUUUGUAGUACAGUUUUAAUGGCUAUGAUUUGGGUAACAGUUGAAGCCUUUUGAGAACUUCAGCAUUUUACAUUCUGUAGCUAUUAUCAUAUGAAUACAGAUGGACAAAAAAAAUCCACUCCCAUAAUUUAAACUUCAUUAGUGAUAUUUUUUCAUUAAAAUUCACAAAAUAACCAAGAUUAAUUUUGAAAUGUAGCAAUACUUAUUUCAAAUUUUGUGGGAUGAGAAUUAAUUUUAUUUUCUCAAAUGUGGAGAUGUGGGCAAAACUGGUGCCCUUGGAGAAAAGCGAUGUGUAUCUUUUAGAUGACAGUGCAUAAUUAUGUAGAAGUUAAUUUUAAAUUCAACUGCACCAGUAGUUGACUAGAAUCACUUUGGUCUUUUUACAAGACUUUUAUCCAACCCAGAGAUAGUAAGAACUGCCGCUGCUGAAGUCUGAGAUAAGUGUGGAGGUGGAGGAACACAGCAGGCCAGGCAGCAUCAGAGGAACAGGAAAGUUGAAAAGGGAAGGGAGCUGGGAAAUAAAUAGAGGAGGGGUGGGCCUGAGGAAGGUGAUAGGUGAGUGCAGGUAGAGUGUGGUGGGGCAGAUAGGUGGGAGAAAAGAUGGACAGGCUGUGGCAGGGAUGAGGCUGAGGGUAGAGAGUUUAAAACUGGUGAAUUCCAUAUUUAGGCCAUUGGGCCUGUAGGUUCCUAAGGCGGAAUGUGAGGUGUUGCUCCUGCAGUUUGCAGGUGGGCUCACUGUGACACUGGCCCUCCUCCAUAUACCUGCCCCAUCCAACCCAGUGGUGUUCAUGAAUUUCAAUAAAAUUGAAACUUUGUUUCGUUCUGUGACUAAAGGUUCUGGUUCAUCAGCAUAAAAAAAAAUUAGUUGUUAUUUGUACUAUUUUAGCUGUUGGGACUAUAAUUAGAUCAUUGCCUGCGAAAGAUGAGUCUGCCUAAGAACAAGUACCAUUGGUUUGUUGUCAGCAGCCAAAUCUCUAAUAGAGAGACGUAAAGCUCUGAAGAAAGAAUGAUUUUUUUUUAAAGCCAAAUUCAUUUUGCUAUAAUUUAAACCUUUUUAAAUUUCUGAUGUAAACACAAGGUCACAGAAUCUUUGCCAUCUUUAAGUUUUAAAAGUUCCCAACUUGGCAUUGGUGAGAAUGAACUAAUCUAGGACAUGAGGGGUUUAGGAUAAAUAAUUAAGCUUGAUGCAUUUGACAGAUUUAACAUUUUGUUGUAAACUUCCUAGGAUUAGAAAUGGAGGGAAUAACUUCAGUUUAUUUUUUGUGAUGCAAAUUUUAAUAUUUGCAACAAGUACUGCUGAUUAAGUGCUGCCAACAAAUGCAAUAAAGCUUUUUUAAUAUUCAGACAGGCUGAAAGUUUUAAAAUUAUUCACAUAGUUCAAAUGCCCUCUUUGCAAGCUAUAAAACUGAUUUAAUAUAGCAUACCAUAAUGAUUUACCAUCAGUAUUAAAGAUGUACUGCAAAUAUUUUUAAUUAAAUUGCAUGCUCUUGAUAUAUUUCAGUAUCAGAAUCCAUUCUUUAGCACCCAAGACUUUUAUGGUCACUUCUUAAGGUUUAAGCCUAGUAAUCAUGAAUUUAUUGGAGUGUUAUAAGCAUUGUUGCUGUUUACAGGAUUUUAGUAAUUUGUGGAUCUGUCAAUAAAUCAAAUAUCCCAUUAGUUUACACUAGAUAUACAUGUUUUUCUUUUUACAAAGCAGUGUACUAACUACCGCAUUAUUUAACUGCCACUUUAUUGAAAGUGAUCAAUGCACAGGUUAAGUGCUAGUAUAAGGAUGUGGUAGAAAUGGUGAUUUAUAAUGGAUUAUUUUGUAAUGCAGAGAAACUACAAAAUGUUUCAGAAUGAUGUAUUCUUCUAAUGCUAAAUUUUUAUCCAAAAAUAUUAAAAUGAACCUGAAAGGCAA